AGUGAACGCUGGCGGUAGGCCUAACACAUGCAAGUCGAACGGCAGCACAGUAAGAGCUUGCUCUUACGGGUGGCGAGUGGCGGACGGGUGAGGAAUACAUCGGAAUCUACUUUUUCGUGGGGGAUAACGUAGGGAAACUUACGCUAAUACCGCAUACGACCUACGGGUGAAAGCAGGGGAUCUUCGGACCUUGCGCGAUUGAAUGAGCCGAUGUCGGAUUAGCUAGUUGGCGGGGUAAAGGCCCACCAAGGCGACGAUCCGUAGCUGGUCUGAGAGGAUGAUCAGCCACACUGGAACUGAGACACGGUCCAGACUCCUACGGGAGGCAGCAGUGGGGAAUAUUGGACAAUGGGCGCAAGCCUGAUCCAGCAAUACCGCGUGGGUGAAGAAGGCCUUCGGGUUGUAAAGCCCUUUUGUUGGGAAAGAAAAGCAGCAGGUUAAUACCCCGCUGUUCUGACGGUACCCAAAGAUUAAGCACCGGCUAACUUCGUG
Molecule: ribosomal RNA, 492 nt
Filed under: uncultured bacterium
Lineage: Bacteria
Description: partial 16S ribosomal RNA
Rfam family: Bacterial small subunit ribosomal RNA
Source: RNAcentral